Molecule: ribosomal RNA, 463 nt
Filed under: Metasiro americanus
Lineage: Eukaryota; Metazoa; Arthropoda; Arachnida; Opiliones; Neogoveidae
Description: partial 16S ribosomal RNA
Rfam family: Bacterial large subunit ribosomal RNA
Source: RNAcentral
UGCCUAUAGAAAGAAUUAUAGGUAAGGCCUGCUCCAUGAAUUAUAUUUAAAUAGCUGCAGGAGACUGUACUAAGGUAGCAUAGUCACUAGUUUUUUAAUUGAAAACUGGAAUGAAGGGUUUAAUGAUUGGAUUAUUUUUUUCUUUAAUAAAAUUGAAUUUUAGUCGGUAGUUAAAAAGCUAUCAAGAUUUUUAGGGACGAGAAGACCCUAUAAAGCUUGAUUUUUCUGAUUAGGUUAAGCUUAUUUAAGAAAAGUUUUAUUGGGGUAAUAGAGUAAGAUAAAGGAUUUUAUUCAGGGAGCCAAAAUUUUUGAGUAUUAGAAUAAGUUACUUUAGGGAUAACAGCAUAAUAAAAUUAAUGAAGUACUUAUUUGUUAAUUUGUUUGUGACCUCGAUGUUGGAUUAAUAUUAUCUGAGGGUGAAGUAGCUCUUGAGGAUAGUCUGUUCGACUAUUAAAAUAUUACA